This is a non-coding RNA of Podarcis lilfordi (Lilford's wall lizard), 71 nucleotides long. The record is from the annotation of a GenBank genome assembly. NCBI's taxonomy places the organism in Eukaryota, Metazoa, Chordata, Lepidosauria, Squamata, Lacertidae.
GUUCUCUAGCUCACUGGUAGAGCACCUGCUCUGCAUGCAGAAGGUUCCAGGUUCGGUUCUUGCCAUCUCCA